GAGAAAGAGAACAUCCUAAAGUUAUUUUUUACAAAAACAAACCUUAAGUUUGAUUUGUGAACCGAGUCAAAAGAGCGAUUCCUUCAAGAACUGAUCAGAUCACGAUACACUCCUCCCUCACAGUAGUUUAGUUUUCAGGAAUAUAAAUAUCUCCAUCAGUUCAGAAGAGAAGAGGAACCUCAGGAAGAGCUGAAAUCUGCUCAGAGACGGAGUUUAUUAAAGAGAGAAGAUGAGAGAUCCAGAUCCCUGCAGAAUCAAACACACUCAGGAACAAACAGAGUUGUUUGAAGAAAAUGAGAAUGGAGAGUUCAGUGAAGGCAAAACUGAAGAAAAAUCU
Carassius gibelio (silver crucian carp) is the source of this 337-nucleotide long non-coding RNA. RefSeq lists it as uncharacterized. The record is from RefSeq and is a predicted model, not a curated record. NCBI's taxonomy places the organism in Eukaryota, Metazoa, Chordata, Actinopteri, Cypriniformes, Cyprinidae. The transcript is spliced from 3 exons.